RNAcentral lists this unclassified non-coding RNA (218 nucleotides) under rhizosphere metagenome. Its description in RNAcentral is "partial ribosomal RNA internal transcribed spacer region". The record is from RNAcentral.
GAGUAAGGGUCUAACCGGCCCGAACCUCCAACCCUUUGUCGUUAUAACACCAUGUUGCUUUGGCGGGACCGCCGCGCUCCCCUUCACGGGGGGGACGGCUACCGGUCUUCGGCUCGGUAAGCGCCCGCCAGAGGUAAAAAAAAACUCUUGCAUUUAACAGGUAGUCUGAGUUGAUAUUUAAUUAAAUCAAAACUUUCAACAACGGAUCUCUUGGUUCU